GACUUUGGUAGCAAAGCGUUCCUGGUCCUUCCUACUUGACGCAGGCAGUGACAGCCAUGUCCCAGACUGAGAAAGCUAUGCAAAGGGUAUAUAUUCAAGAUUCCAAUGCGUUGGUCAAAGAAGGUGCAGUCCCUAUGGGAAGCUCAUCUCAGUGAACCUCACGAAGGUGCCAGGGGAUGUACCCGGAUUUGGAUGAAUCCAGGGAUCCCAGGAAGAAACACUCUGAUCUAAGAGACUUUUUGAAGUUGUACAGACCUUAGAGAUAAGCUGCCCAGCCCUCAGAUUCACCCAAGACAAGUGAGCUGCCUGGGAAGUUGAGAGAUUGACUUAAGCUUUGCCGCCCACAGAUGUUUUGAGAUAUGACUAAUCUUUUAAAUUCACUUUGAAAAUGAUUAAAGACUGUAUAUAUCUUCCCUCUCUAAUCCUCUCCUUUUUAAGUUUUCUUUCUUUCUUUUUUUUU
This is a long non-coding RNA of Erinaceus europaeus (western European hedgehog), 460 nucleotides long. RefSeq lists it as uncharacterized. The record is from RefSeq and is a predicted model, not a curated record. The transcript has 3 exons. Lineage: Eukaryota; Metazoa; Chordata; Mammalia; Eulipotyphla; Erinaceidae.